CCGGUCUCGCGGGGCUCGGCCUCGCCCUCUCGCCCGGCAGCCCGGCUCGCGCUCGCUCCCGGGUCUGCUGCACGCGUCCGCUGCCGCUGCCGCUGCCGGGCCGACGCCUCCGACCGCUCUCUCGUCCUCCACCCCCGCCCCGCCGCGCUCCGGGCAGCGUCCCGCGCGGAGAAGGGGGCGGGCGGCGGAGAGGUGAGGAGCGAGCCUGCAGCGAGCGAGGCCUUCGAAGUUGAGCAGCGGAGUGCGGGGAGACCCUCCGCUGCCCCCUCUUUAAAGCCGCGCGCGCACACACCGAUCCUCCACACAGAUAUCCUUCCUCCGCGCGCCGAGGAGUCCCGACGCCGCCGCCGGCUUCGCAGGCGCUGAGGGUGAGAGGCACGCUAAACUGCUCGGCUCCGCCACAUAACGAAGCGACAAUAAAGCCGGCGGAGCGUUUCCGUCCGACCAGGCCCUGGCGGAGGUCGAAUGGCAAAUGAACAACGGACCGUGCGCCCACAAUGCACCGGGACUGGACCAGGCGGUGCCUUUCACGCGAAGAGGUUACGACCACGGACACAACCUCCUUUGAUGCAUUGUGCGAGGCAGCACCUCGGGCCCCGGACAGUAGUCAUUUCACAGAAAAUGCACCGCCCCGAGUGUCUUAUUGCUGUGAUGAAAUGGAAAUUUAAAUAAAAGGUCGAACACGUGCGUUCACUGGGAAGUAUUGACAUGGGUGUUACAUCACCAGCAGCCAAUCAGAUAACUCCAGUCGUGUUUAUACUUCUACAACCACCUUGUGAGUAUUACAGUAUGUCAUAACGUUAUAAAUAUUAGGCAGGGUUUUCCCCAGGAGCGGGGAGGAGUCUGCUUCUACGGACGUUGUGAGCGGCUCCGAAGAUUGUGUGUUUAAAGUCAACAAUUCAUUUUUAAGACUUUUUUCGAACUGUUUACAUUACAUGGACUUUAGAUUGAUUCUGACAGAAUGAACUGGAAAUGAAAUCCCACAGUUAUGAUCGUAGUAGAGUUUUUUUUUCCAAUUUAGGGCCCUUAUACUCCUUUUAAAAAUUUUUAAUAUGCUAAAUUUAGCAAAUACUAAAGUGUUAAGACUCAUCUGACAAUGUGAGAAUUUAAGCCUAUUUCAGGUUAAGAAAAAAAAGAUGUUUUCAAGUUAUGGAGGGGCUUUUUACUCUUAAGCGACAUAUGUAUUAGAAGUUGAAUCACGAACUGAUAAAAUGCUCCAGAUAAUUGUUGACUAAAAAAAAUACGGCAGGACAAAUUUUUUACAUUAAUACAUAUGUGCAGAAAAUGAGAAAUAUACAUGAACUCUUUACAGUUAUAGAUUAAUGGGAAGGGUUAUGUUAAAGGCUUGAACCUCCUAAAUAAUGUAUUAAUGUAAAUAAAGUUAUAUAUGUUUUAUGAAGAACAGGUGUUACAAUUUUUAGACCUAGUUUUAUGAUUCUUAUUCUCUUCAAAAGUUCUUUUUCUAUUUCAAAACUAAGAGCAAUAUGUAAAGCUUUGUAUAAUAUGGAAUAUGGUAUGUAUUUCAAGGUUACUUUAAAAAGCAAGCUUUGGCUGGUCCCAAGGUAGUGAAUUGUCUCAAUUGGUUAUUCACAGUUGGUUGCCCGUUGUACCACUCUUUCCCCACUUCCACUUGACUAGUCUUUUAAAAAUAAAUAAAUAUUUAAAUAAACAA
Molecule: long non-coding RNA, 1672 nt
Filed under: Homo sapiens (human)
Lineage: Eukaryota; Metazoa; Chordata; Mammalia; Primates; Hominidae
Description: novel transcript, antisense to ZBTB10
Rfam family: Y RNA (bases 1550-1644)
Source: RNAcentral